GUAACUGCCGAAGACAGUAGGUGCUGCAAAGCGUAAGGAUAAAAACGCCUACCGAGGAAGAUUGGAUUUAGUACGUAACGUAUGAAUUUAUAAUCCCUCUGUGUCUUUGGGCACGGAGGUUUUUUACUGUA
Molecule: small RNA, 131 nt
Filed under: uncultured Lachnoclostridium sp.
Lineage: Bacteria; Bacillati; Bacillota; Clostridia; Lachnospirales; Lachnospiraceae
Description: Ribosomal protein L10 leader
Rfam family: Ribosomal protein L10 leader
About the family: This family is a putative r-protein leader autoregulatory structure found in B. subtilis and other low-GC Gram-positive bacteria. It is located in the 5' untranslated regions of mRNAs encoding ribosomal proteins L10 and L12 (rplJ-rplL).
Source: RNAcentral